Molecule: transfer RNA, 97 nt
Filed under: Actinoplanes teichomyceticus
Lineage: Bacteria; Bacillati; Actinomycetota; Actinomycetes; Micromonosporales; Micromonosporaceae
Description: tRNA-Ala
Source: RNAcentral
CCCGCCCGGGGCGCCGUGGCAGCGCUUGUACUUCUUGCCCGAGCCGCAGUAGCAGGGAGCGUUACGGGACGGGCCGUUCGACUCGGCCUGGCCGGAC